Molecule: long non-coding RNA, 3173 nt
Organism: Scophthalmus maximus (turbot)
Lineage: Eukaryota; Metazoa; Chordata; Actinopteri; Pleuronectiformes; Scophthalmidae
Exons: 3
Source: RefSeq, a predicted model, not a curated record
UGACAUGAAAUCAAACAUUUAAUCUUGAACCCACACAACCCAGUCUCAAGGCAAGUUGUGCAACAGCAUCAUUGAUUUGUGUACAUGAUCAGAAACCUUACAGCAAAAUCACACCUACUUAUGGUUCUGUUUAGAAUCUCGCAGCACCUGGUUCAGGCCGGGUGGAGUGUGGUCAAUACAGAAAGAAGUUUACAGUGACUUCUGACACAACCUGUUUAUUUGAAUUCAAUCAAAACUACAAUCGUUCCUGGAACUUUAUCAAAGUGUUUUUGAUGCCUACAUCUUUGUCUUUGUGUUCACCAUCCACCCACCACUUGUGAUAAUUGUUGUUCCAGUUGAAAUACAUUAUAUGAAAUACAUACUAUCCACAUGCCAUGCUCCAAUGAAGAUUGAUUUUUUUCCACAACUUUGAUACGAAAUAGUAUAGGUCAUUAGUGUGGCCCUGUGCCGGCUGCAUUGAUAGGAAAAGGACAAAAAUACAAUAAAAAUGAAUAUAGAAUUUGAAAGCUGAAUGAGUCACUUCAAACAGAAGCUCUAGUCGCGGGGCCCCACAGCCCUUUUGAGCCCCGGGUUUUUUCCAUGGUUACCAUGAUUAUACUGAUCCGGGAAAUUUUUUGACAUUUGCCAUCUCAUUAAUAAUCAGCUGACCCAGUGGUUGGUGUCAGUAUUUUUGGUCUCUACCUUAAGACAAGCUGCUGGUGAAGAGUGUGGGUGCUCUCUCCUGGUCACAGUAAGAUAAUGCAGUCAUAAAAUCACUAUAGCCAAAAGUAUGUGGACGGUGAAGUGCAUUUAUGUCUGUUUUUCCUGGAUUGGUUUGGUAUGUUUACAACCUUGUCUUGUCUUCUCUCUCUUUCUAAUUCAUAAGGGAUUAAAUUUAUAUCUUAGAUCCUGAUUAUAUGUUAACAACACUAGCCAGUUACCAUUAACACAUUUUUUAUUGAAAUAAGUGCUUUCAACCCUGAAGAUAUUACGCAAAAGUGCAAAUAUUGUACAUUUAUAAAAGGUUAAUUUAUUGCACGGGCUUGAGCCCACUGAGUAAGUGUAGACUUUGAGCACUGAUGAUGGUUUGGGUGUGUUGGACUGCUCCGAUUCUUCGCGAGGUGUCUAAAAGAAUACUCCGUACAUAUGGAAUAUGUAGCUUGCUGGUCUCAAUAAAGUCUCAACAUGAUAGAGAACUGUAGGUUACAUUGUAACCGUGGUUCUCUGAGUGAAGAGACUGUCUCUCCACUUCUUCAUCGCUCAGAAUCUGGUGUUGGUUAAUAAAAAAACAGAGCAAUCACACACACCUCUGCCUUAUAUGCCCGUGCGUGCCAGUACUACUGGUGUGUUUUAAACAAUAUCCACGUCAACUGUCAGGUGGGGGACAUUCUCUGUAAAUAUGGAAUAUGUAGCUGGGUGAAGAUAGUAUCUUCACUUAGAGAACCACAGUUAGUUCAGUUCCCCAUACUAUGCCAGAUUACCAGUCCAGCACUGGGUUAUGCUGUAGAAUGUGGUGGUAGAAUUAGGAUUUUAAGAAUUUUUUUCUUCCUCCCCGAUUGUUUAUCACUUUACUGCAGAGCUGCAUUCCCAUAUACAUAUCAGAGCUGAUGAUGUCACAAUGGUAGAUGGAAUUCCUUGGAAGUUAGCUUUGAUCAUCAGGAUUCCAUUUCUUCUUCUAAUCUUUAUUUCUGCAUGUUUACUGUCCAAAUCAUAUUCCAAUGUAAAACGCAAAGAGCUGUGUCAUUGUCAACACUGAAAACAGAUUUAAACCUGUUAUUGAUCAAUUAGAAAACACAAGAGUUGCCUCACUCCUCCGAACAUAUAGAUAACACAGAUAUGAUACAUCUGCCAGUGACGGCGGGGCAUUGAGGUCUAAAUUGAGACAGAAUCCCUGAAAAAAAUCCAAAAAUGUUGACUAACUUGAUAUUCAUUCAUAGUAUUUAAUUUACUUUUUAAAUAUAUAUGUCUAUACCUGUGACCCGGAAGUGAUGUGGAAGUGGUUUUGUUAACACAUCAUCAAACACUAUCACAACUGUUUCAGUCACCAAACACCAUAAAAACUUAGAAAAUGACCUUGCAUCUGUUAACAACUAUAUUAUUAAGGUUCAUAGAGGGUUAUUGUUUUUAUAGAAGAUUUUAAGAUACUGUCGAUCACCUUUAAAAUUCCCAUACUAUGCAAAAUGCACUUUUUCGUGGUUUUCUAACUAUCUUACUUUCUAUGUGUGUCCUCUCUCUCUUUUGCUUGCUCCACUUUCAGAAGACGCGCUCAAACACGCUGGUCAGCUUUCUUGACCUCAACACGUCCUAUAGGGGCCACAUCACCUCCUCCAGGGAGGUGACACUCCCCGGGCUUGGUGUGUUCCGCCCACUGAAACCUGGUAAAUUUACCUUGCAACAGCCAUGUUUUAUUAUUUACAGUUGUUCAAAAGUUGUCAGAUUGGAUUUUGGGAUAAUGGAUCGGAUCAAAUCUUGAAAAUGGGUUGUUCAAAAUUAGAAAAGUAGAUCACCUAAUCCAAUCUUGGUUUUAAUCCAGAUCAAACCUUCAGAUUGUAUUGUUGAAAACAGCCAGGAGGGAGUUGCAGUAGUCCAGGCGUGAGAUGACAAGAGCCUGCACCAAUACCUUUGUCGCUUUCUCUGUGAGGACCGGAUGUAUCCUCCUGAUGUUGUGGAGUAUGAAACUGCAGCAGCGGGUUGUCAGUGCGAUGUUGGCAGCGAAGGACAGCUGGUCGUCCUGUGUCACACCCAGGUUCCUUCACCACAGAGUUCUCAAUGGAAAGGACCAUAUGUGUCAGUUGUCAUCUGCGUAGCUAUGGUAUCAAAAGCCAUGUGAGUGAAUGACAGAGCCUAAUGACCUAGUGUACAGAGAGAAGAGGAUGGGGCCCAGAACAGAGCCUUGAGGGACCCCAGUAGUGAGGUUGCAGGGUUCAGACACAGAUCCUCUCCAAGUAAACCUCAUCCCAUUUGAAUGACAGCAGAGGCGAGACACCGAGACCGCCGCCCGGAAAGACGAGCACAAUCUCUGAGUGUCAGCAAGGAUGGUUCUGCCAACAUCAAGUCCUCCUCCUCAAGUCCCAGCUGCUCCUCCUCCCCACGUCCCACCUGCUCCUCUUCCUCACGUCCCACCUGCUCCUCCUCCUCAAGUCCCCGCUGCUCCUCCUCCCCACGUCCCACCUGCUCCUCUUCCUCACGUCCCC